RNAcentral lists this ribosomal RNA (460 nucleotides) under uncultured bacterium. Its description in RNAcentral is "partial 16S ribosomal RNA". It matches the Rfam family "Bacterial small subunit ribosomal RNA", at positions 338 to 795 of the family's 1533-position model. The record is from RNAcentral.
CCUACGGGCGGCAGCAGUAGGGAAUCUUCCACAAUGGGCGAAAGCCUGAUGGAGCAACGCCGCGUGGGGGAAGACGGUCCUACGGAUUGUAAACCUCUUUUGCCGGGGAGCAACGGGGUCCUUGCGAGGGCCCGAUGAGAGUACCCGGAGAAAAAGCAUCGGCUAACUCCGUGCCAGCAGCCGCGGUAAUACGGAGGAUGCGAGCGUUAUCCGGAUUUAUUGGGGUUAAAGGGUGCGUAGGCGGGCUGUUAAGUCAGCGGUCAAAUGUCGGGGCUCAACCCCGGCCUGCCGUUGAAACUGGCGGCCUCGAGUGGGCGAGAAGUAUGCGGAAUGCGUGGUGUAGCGGUGAAAUGCAUAGAUAUCACGCAGAACUCCGAUUGCGAAGGCAGCAUACCGGCGCCCGACUGACGCUGAGGCACGAAAGCGUGGGUAUCGAACAGGAUUAGAUACCCGAGUAGUC